GUAUUAGUUAGGUUCUUAAAACCCAAAGGAUUUGGCGGUAUUUUAAUCUGCUUAGAGGAGCUUGUCCCUUAAUCGAUAAUCCACGAUUUUAUUUACUUUUAUUUGUUUUCAGUUUGUAUACCUCCGUCAUAAGAAUUUCUUUAUAGAGGAUAUUUUCUUUAUUAUCUUAAAUAAAAAUGUCAGGUCAAGGUGCAGCUUAUAUAAAAGGGGAGAUGGGCUACAAUAGAAUUUAUUUUUGGAUUUUUCCAAUUAGUUGUUAAAUGAAACUGGAUUUAAGAGUAAAGAUUUUUAUUAAUUAUCUUGAAGACUGCUCUGAAAUAUGCACACAUCGCCCG
RNAcentral lists this ribosomal RNA (335 nucleotides) under Devadatta podolestoides. Its description in RNAcentral is "partial 12S ribosomal RNA". The record is from RNAcentral. Lineage: Eukaryota; Metazoa; Arthropoda; Insecta; Odonata; Devadattidae.